AACUCCCAAAGCUAGGAUUCUUACAUUAAACUAUUCUUUGUU
Molecule: transfer RNA, 42 nt
Filed under: Tetrapturus angustirostris (shortbill spearfish)
Lineage: Eukaryota; Metazoa; Chordata; Actinopteri; Istiophoriformes; Istiophoridae
Description: partial tRNA-Pro
Source: RNAcentral